This is a long non-coding RNA of Humulus lupulus (European hop), 457 nucleotides long. RefSeq lists it as uncharacterized. Lineage: Eukaryota; Viridiplantae; Streptophyta; Magnoliopsida; Rosales; Cannabaceae. The record is from RefSeq and is a predicted model, not a curated record. The transcript has 2 exons.
AUUACAUCGAUAUAUAUAUAUCAUUUGCUUAAUAGUGGUGGGAGAUGGGGUUCUCUUCUGUCAUUGGUUUUAUGAUGAUGAUCAUUCUUAUUAUAGCAGCAAAUAACUAUUUUAUCACUGGAGAUCUGAGGUCGAGUGCGAAAGUAAGGCCACCUACACGUCCACCUGCACCGGUAAAUAACCAAAUGCGUGCACAAGUAACACCACCUACACCAACACCUGGUUCAGAUUCAAGAUAGCUAGGCCAUUACUAGUCCAAUCAAGUUAUUUGAAUUUGGCCAUUGUUGUAUCUUAUACAUUAUGUCAUCUUCAUUCAUGUUGUGAAAUCUUCUAGUAGUAGCAGCAAUGCCUUUUGUUUGUUGUAAUAACCCACUUUUCUUUGGAAAUUAGUUGUAAUCUGUUACAGAGUUGUUAAUUCUCUGCUUAUAAAUACAAUCAUUUACUCUUGUGAUUCUCA